Molecule: ribosomal RNA, 411 nt
Filed under: uncultured prokaryote
Description: bacterial SSU rRNA
Rfam family: Bacterial small subunit ribosomal RNA
Source: RNAcentral
GUGCCAGCCGCCGCGGUAAUACGGAGGGUGCAAGCGUUAUCCGGAAUCACUGGGUUUAAAGGGUGCGUAGGCGGCCUGGUAAGUCAGGGGUGAAAGUUUGCCGCUCAACGGUAAAAUUGCCUUUGAUACUGUCAGGCUUGAAUAGGCGCGAGGCAGGCGGAAUGUGACAUGUAGCGGUGAAAUGCAUAGAUAUGUCAUAGAACACCAAUUGCGAAGGCAGCUUGCCAGAGCCUUAUUGACGCUGAGGCACGAAAGCGUGGGGAGCGAACAGGAUUAGAUACCCUGGUAGUCCACGCCCUAAACGAUGCUUACUCGACGUGCGGUUUUCGGAUUGUGCGUCCAAGCGAAAGCGCUAAGUAAGCCACCUGGGGAGUACGCCGGCAACGGUGAAACUUAAAGGAAUUGACGGGG